GUUAUUGACUUUUAGCCAAUAGAAAGAGAUGGGAAUUCAAUAAUUAUCCACAAAAUUCCAAAUCAUUGGUUCACCAAAAGAUCUAAGGCUGUUAUAUUAUUUCUUAAAAAGAUAAAAAAAAAAAGAAAGGAAAAACAACAAAUAUGGAUUAAACUAUGGUUUGUAAAUUGAACUUUGCAUGAAACCUUUAUCAUAAUGAUUUCACUACUCCCAUAUUUAUUUGACUAGAGUAGCACUAAUGACUUUCU
RNAcentral lists this long non-coding RNA (248 nucleotides) under Arabidopsis lyrata. RNAcentral describes it as "long non-coding RNA (ALYR_LNC000362)". Lineage: Eukaryota; Viridiplantae; Streptophyta; Magnoliopsida; Brassicales; Brassicaceae. The record is from RNAcentral.